RNAcentral lists this ribosomal RNA (465 nucleotides) under uncultured bacterium. RNAcentral's name for it is "partial 16S ribosomal RNA". It matches the Rfam family "Bacterial small subunit ribosomal RNA", at positions 28 to 507 of the family's 1533-position model. The record is from RNAcentral.
GACGAACGCUGGCGGCGUGCUUAACACAUGCAAGUCGAACGGAAAGGCCCCUUCGGGGGUACUCGAGUGGCGAACAGGUGCGUAACACGUGAGUAACCUGCCCUUGACUUCGGGAUAACUUCAGGAAACUGGGGCUAAUACCGGAUAGGAAUCCUUGCUGCAUGGUGGGGGUUGGAAAGCUUCGGCGGUUUUGGAUGGACUCGCGGCUUAUCAGCUUGUUGGUGGGGUAGUGGCUUACCAAGGCUUUGACGGGUAGCCGGCCUGAGAGGGCGACCGGCCACAUUGGGACUGAGAUACGGCCCAGACUCCUACGGGAGGCAGCAGUGGGGAAUAUUGCACAAUGGGCGGAAGCCUGAUGCAGCAACGCCGCGGGCGGGAUGACGGCCUUCGGGUUGUAAACCGCUUUCAGCAGGGGCGAAGCUUGUGGUGACGGUACCUGCAGAAGAAGCACCGGCUAACUACGUG